UACGUAGGGGGCAAGCGUUGUCCGGAUUCAUUGGGCGUAAAGAGCGUGUAGGCGGUUUGGUAGGUCCGCUGUGAAAACUCGAGGCUCAACCUCGAGACGCCGGUGGAAACCAUCAGACUAGAGUCCGGAAGAGGAGAGUGGAAUUCCUGGUGUAGCGGUGAAAUGCGCAGAUAUCAGGAAGAACACCCGUGGCUAAGGCGGCUCUCUAGUACGGUACUGACGCUGAGACGCGAAAGCGUGGGGAGCAAACAGG
This 253-nucleotide ribosomal RNA is filed under the name uncultured bacterium. RNAcentral's name for it is "partial 16S ribosomal RNA". It matches the Rfam family "Bacterial small subunit ribosomal RNA", at positions 524 to 776 of the family's 1533-position model. The record is from RNAcentral.